AUUGAACGCUGGCGGCAUGCCUUACACAUGCAAGUCGAACGGCAGCACGGGUGCUUGCACCUGGUGGCGAGUGGCGAACGGGUGAGUAAUACAUCGGAACAUGUCCUGUAGUGGGGGAUAGCCCGGCGAAAGCCGGAUUAAUACCGCAUACGAUCUACGGAUGAAAGCGGGGGCCCUUCGGGCCUCGCGCUAUAGGGUUGGCCGAUGGCUGAUUAGCUCGUUGGUGGGGUAAAGGCCUACCAAGGCGACGAUCAGUAGCUGGUCUGAGAGGACGACCAGCCACACUGGGACUGAGACACGGCCCAGACUCCUACGGGAGGCAGCAGUGGGGAAUUUUGGACAAUGGGCGAAAGCCUGAUCCAGCAAUGCCGCGUGUGUGAAGAAGGCCUUCGGGUUGUAAAGCACUUUUGUCCGGAAAGAAAUCCUUGGCCCUAAUACGGUCGGGGGAUGACGGUACCGGAAGAAUAAGCACCGGCUAACUACGUG
Molecule: ribosomal RNA, 486 nt
Filed under: uncultured bacterium
Lineage: Bacteria
Description: partial 16S ribosomal RNA
Rfam family: Bacterial small subunit ribosomal RNA
Source: RNAcentral